GACCCCUUGGUCAAGCGGUUAAGACAUCGCCCUUUCACGGCGGUAUCAGGGGUUCGAGUCCCCUAGGGGUCACCA
This 75-nucleotide transfer RNA is filed under the name Clostridiales bacterium. RNAcentral's name for it is "tRNA-Glu". It matches the Rfam family "tRNA". Rfam says of the family: Transfer RNA (tRNA) molecules are approximately 80 nucleotides in length. Their secondary structure includes four short double-helical elements and three loops (D, anti-codon, and T loops). Lineage: Bacteria; Bacillati; Bacillota; Clostridia; Eubacteriales. The record is from RNAcentral.